Aedes aegypti (yellow fever mosquito) is the source of this 72-nucleotide non-coding RNA. The record is from Rfam. Lineage: Eukaryota; Metazoa; Arthropoda; Insecta; Diptera; Culicidae.
GGCUCGGUAGCUUAGUUAGUAUAGCACUCGUUUAGCAUACAAGAAUCGUGGGUUCGAUUCCCACCUGAGCAC